RNAcentral lists this ribosomal RNA (305 nucleotides) under uncultured bacterium. Its description in RNAcentral is "bacterial SSU rRNA". It matches the Rfam family "Bacterial small subunit ribosomal RNA", at positions 338 to 660 of the family's 1533-position model. The record is from RNAcentral.
CCUACGGGGGGCAGCAGUGGGGAAUAUUGCACAAUGGGGGAAACCCUGAUGCAGCGAUGCCGCGUGGAGGAAGAAGGCUUUCGGGUUGUAAACUCCUUUUAUCAGGGAAGAAAAUGACGGUACCUGAAGAAAAAGCUCCGGCUAACUACGUGCCAGCAGCCGCGGUAAUACGUAGGGAGCGAGCGUUGUCCGGAAUUACUGGGUGUAAAGGGAGCGUAGACGGGCCGGCAAGUCAGAUGUGAAAAUUGAGCGCUCAACGUUCAAACUGCAUUGGAAACUGCUGUUCUUGAGUGAAGAAGAGGUAG